RNAcentral lists this ribosomal RNA (438 nucleotides) under uncultured bacterium. RNAcentral's name for it is "partial 16S ribosomal RNA". It matches the Rfam family "Bacterial small subunit ribosomal RNA", at positions 339 to 795 of the family's 1533-position model. The record is from RNAcentral.
CUACGGGUGGCACCAGUGAGGAAUAUUGCACAAUGGGGGGAACCCUGAUGCAGCAACGCCGCGUGGAGGAUGACGCAUUUCGGUGUGUAAACUCCUUUUAUAUGUCAAGAAAAUGACGGUAGCAUAUGAAUAAGCACCGGCUAACUCCGUGCCAGCAGCCGCGGUAGUAGGAGGGUGCAAGCGUUACUCGGAAUCACUGGGCGUAAAGGACGCGUAGGCGGGUUGGAAAGUCAGGUGUGAAAUCCUACAGCUUAACUGUAGAACUGCACUUGAAACUUCUAAUCUAGAGUAUGGGAGGGGGAGAUGGAAUUAGUGGUGUAGGGGUAAAAUCCGUAGAUAUCACUAGGAAUACCUAAAGCGAAGGCGAUCUCCUGGAACAUUACUGACGCUAAGGCGUGAAAGCGUGGGGAGCAAACAGGAUUAGAUACCCUAGUAGUC